RNAcentral lists this ribosomal RNA (2544 nucleotides) under Triticum aestivum (bread wheat). RNAcentral's name for it is "partial small subunit ribosomal RNA". Lineage: Eukaryota; Viridiplantae; Streptophyta; Magnoliopsida; Poales; Poaceae. The record is from RNAcentral.
AUGGCAGCUGGAGCGCUUCCUCUGGGUGUGCUCGUCGUGCUGCUCUGCGUGGGCGUCGUGCGCGCGGCGGACGCGGACAUCGUGGCCGCGGGCCGUCCGCUCUCCGGCGACCAGAAGCUGGUCUCUCCCGGCGGCAAGUUCGCCUUGGGACUCUUCCACCCAGACGGAGCAGCCGACGGCAGCUGGUACGCCGGCAUCUGGUACCACAAGAUAUCGGUGCACACGCCGGUCUGGGUGGCCAACCGCGAGACGCCGGUCUCCAACACGUCGCGGCUCGCCAUCGCGCCCGACGGCAACCUCGCACUGUUCGACGGCGCCGGCUCGAUUGUCUGGUCAACGAACGCCAGCACCAGCGGCGUCGCCAAUGCCAGUGACACGGUCGCCGUUCUCCACGACUCCGGGAACCUCGUGCUCACGCCCGCGUCCAACGCCUCCGCAGUGCUGUGGCAGAGCUUCGACCACAUCACGGACACGUGGCUUCCAGGCGGGAAGCUCAGGCGCGACAAGCGCACCGGCGUCAUCCAGGCCAUGGCCUCGUGGAGGGCGCGCGGCGACCCCGCGCCGGGGAUGUACGCCCUCCAGCUCGACCCGUCCGGGGCGAAGCAGUACUUGCUGCUGUCGAAUGGCACCCAUGUGUACUGGGCCACCGGCAACUGGACAGGCAAGUACUUUACCGGGGCGCCGGAGGUCGCCGCGUCGAGCGGCGGCUCCGGGUAUAGCUUCAACUUUGUGGACAACGACGACGAGAGCUACUUCACGUAUAACUUCGCCGUGAACACGACGGUGUAUCGGUUCGUCAUGGACGUGUCGGGGCAGGUCAAGGGGUGGUUCUGGGUGGAGGCCACGCAGGGAUGGAAUCUGGUCUACGCCGAGCCCAAGGCCCGGUGCGACGUGCCUCGCGGCUGCGGCGCGUUCGGCGUGUGCACCGAGGGCUCGUCCACGGCGUGCGACUGCGCCCGGGGAUUCAACCCGCAAAGUCCGGCGAGCUGGGGCCUCGGCGACUACAUCGGCGGUUGCGUGCGCAACACCCAGCUUCAGUGCAGUAAGAACAGCAGUGGCCCGUCGGACGGCUUGAAGAACGUGGAGCAGGACAAGUUCCUCCGCAUCGACCGCAUGAGGCUCCCUGACGAUGGCCGAAUGGCGGGAGCCGCAAGCUCCGGCGACUGCCAACGCGCGUGUCUUGGGGACUGCACAUGCUCCGCCUACGCGUACAACGGCAGCUGCUUCUUGUGGCACAAUGAUCUGUUCAACUUACAAAACGGUGUCCUCGACAACCAGGCCAGCGCCGGAAGCCUGUACCUCCGUCUCGCUGCGUCGGAGCUCCCAGGCGCGCGAAGCCACGUAUGGAGGGACAUCAAGGUCGCCGCCGUGGCACUCGGCAUCACGUGCUUCGUGAUCGCCGCAGCCAUUCUUCUCGUUCGUACGAUAAGAGGAACGAUGAAGAGGAGAAGAGCGACGAUACUGAGCGGUCUCGCCGCCGGCGAUGGCUGCGUGAGCUACAAGUACAGCGACCUGCAGUCCCUGACUAAGAACUUCACCGACAAGAUCGGCGCCGGCGCCUUCGGGUCGGUGUUCAAGGGCCAGUUUUCCGACCGCACCGUCGUGGCCGUCAAGAAGCUGGAGGGGCUCCGGCAAGGCGAGAAGCAGUUCCGCGCGGAGGUGAGCACGCUGGGCACCGUCCAGCACGUCAACCUCAUCCGCAUGCUCGGCUUCUGCUCCGGCGGCGGCGACCGGAAGCUGCUUGUCUACGAGUACAUGCCCAACGGCUCGCUCGACCGGCACCUCUUCCGCAAGACCUUCUACGUCCUCAGCUGGCAGGUGCGGUUCCAGGUCGCGCUCGGCGUCGCCAAGGGGCUCGCCUACCUCCACGACAAGUGCCGUGACUGCAUCAUCCACUGCGACGUCAAGCCCGAGAACAUCCUCCUCGACGCCUCCUUCGGCGCCAAGGUGGCCGACUUCGGGCUCGCCAAGCUCGUCGGCCGGGACUUCAGCCGGGUGCUCACCACCAUGCGCGGCACCGUUGGGUACCUGGCGCCGGAGUGGAUCAGCGGCGAGGCCAUCACGGCCAAGGCGGACGUGUUUAGCUACGGGAUGAUGCUCUUCGAGAUCGUGUCCGGGAGGCGGAACAUCGAGCAAGGGGAGAGGCGAUCCGUGGUGUCGUCGACGGCAGACGCGGACGGUGCGGAGGAGCACCCGACGACGACCUUCUUCCCGUUGCUGGUCGCGAGGAAGCUGGCAGAGGGGGGCGUGAUGACGUUGCUCGAUCCCGAGCUGGAAGGCGACGCGAACGCCGAGGAGAUGAGGAGGGUGUGCAAGGUCGCCAGCUGGUGCAUCCAGCGCGACGUCGACACGCGGCCGACGAUGGGGGAGGUGGUGCAGGUGCUAGAGGGGCUGACGGACUUGGAGAUGCCACCGGUGCCUCAGUACCUUGAAGUGCUCGUGGGACGGCCGGUACACGGGACGGCGUACCAUAGCGAUAGCGGGGAGCAGCUUGAAGCGCCCGCGGGAGGCGGGACGGCCGGUACACGGAACAGUGUACCAUAG